CUCUUCCGUUCUGGAAAUGAGAGUUUCUCACUGAGACCAGAAGGGCUUUGCCUUGUUUCCCUUUUGCUCCAUGCCCAGAGACGGGUCUUAGUUCCUUCCUCUCCUCAUUAGCUGUCCCUCACAGUGUGCUGCUUUGUCCCUCACCUCCUUAGGAAGGCUGUGGGACGAGGGUGGCUCAGGUUGCCCACAGGUGUUGUAGAGUCUCCAUUGCUGGAGAGGCUCAAGCCCCAAGUGGACAUGAUCCUGGACAACCUGCUCCAGCUGAGCCUGCUUGACCAGGGCUCUGGACUAGGAGAUCUUGAGAGGUCCCUCCAAGCCUUAACAAUUCAGUGAUUCUGUGAUCCUGGGACAAGGCUUUUUUUGCUUGCUUUUGAAAUGUGCACCUUGUAGAAGCAGGAGCUGAGGUCUGAGAUAGGCAGGCUCAGGCAUCAGAUCUACAGGAAACUUUGACCAGUCAGAGAUAAAUUUCUGUCUGUGAUACACUGCUUGGAUAACUUCAUUUUCUGCUCUGCUUCUGAACUUUUUCUGCAGAUUUAUGGCUAAAUGAUUUCAUAAAAUGUAUUCAGUGUAUUCAAUAUAAUCAAUGUAAUCAAUGUGUCAAUCAAAAGAUCAGUGUGUGCUAGAUCAUGUAGUUCCUGAGUAGUUCACAAUAAAAAUCAUUUGCU
This is a long non-coding RNA of Chiroxiphia lanceolata (lance-tailed manakin), 665 nucleotides long. RefSeq lists it as uncharacterized. Lineage: Eukaryota; Metazoa; Chordata; Aves; Passeriformes; Pipridae. The transcript is spliced from 2 exons. The record is from RefSeq and is a predicted model, not a curated record.